CCUACGGGUGGCAGCAGUGGGGAAUAUUGCACAAUGGGGGGAACCCUGAUGCAGCGACGCCGCGUGGGUGAAGGAGUACUUCGGUACGUAAAGCCCUAUCAUCAGGGAAGAAAAUGACGGUACCUUACUAAGAAGCCCCGGCUAACUACGUGCCAGCAGCCGCGGUAAUACGUAGGGGGCAAGCGUUAUCCGGAUUUACUGGGUGUAAAGGGAGCGUAGGCGGGAGUGCAAGUCCGGAGUGAAAGCCCGGGGCUCAACCCUGGGACGGUUCUGGAAACUGUUAAGCUGGAGGGCGUGAGGGGCAGGCGGAAUUCCUGGUGUAGCGGUGAAAUGCGUAGAUAUUAGGAGGAACACCGGCGGGGAAGGCGGCCUGCUGGCGCGUAACUGACGUUGAGGCACGAAAGCGUGGGGAGCAAACAGGAUUAGAUACCCUUGUAGUC
Molecule: ribosomal RNA, 440 nt
Filed under: uncultured bacterium
Lineage: Bacteria
Description: partial 16S ribosomal RNA
Rfam family: Bacterial small subunit ribosomal RNA
Source: RNAcentral